GCGAUUUUCGGCCACCGCAAAACCUAAGAUGCUCUUCACCAAAUUCGACAUGUUCUUCACCAAGUUCAACCUGUUCUUCACCAAGUUCGACCUUUUCCGUUGCUAGAUUGUUCCUUAACUCCUUUUACAUGUUUUCUUGUUUUGUUCAGUUUGGCUCUUCCAUUUAAGUGUAUUUAAUGGGCGGCAGUCUAGCGUUAGAUGAGCGUACGCUAGGUUUACGAAACGUUGCGCCGCCCAUCCAUUGGCCGAUUGUAUACCCAAUCACCUCUUUAGUUCAUUCCUGGUCUCCCAUAAGCCGUGUUAUGUUAACUAUGCAGACGGCAUGGCGAGAACCAGAACAGACGGAAGAUCCAACUCCCUUGCGUUUGCGGGAUAGGGCGGCAAAAGCCUCCUACUGAAAGAUAUUCUUCUACCAACCCGGCAAUAGACAAAGAAUAUGCCGACCUCUUCCAAGAGAUAGACGAGUAUGCCGAGUCCGAAAAGGAGCAGACGGCGAGUUCGUCGGAACGCACGGGAGUGAACAAGAGUAUCUUAGCAGGUCGAGCAGUUGCUAAGGAGUUGGUUGUGGUCCCGGUGUCGUUGGUUGUUGAAGAGCCCGUGGCGGCCCAGGCGCCGGCUAGGCCAGGUGGCCGGGAAGAGGCUCAUCUUCUUGCUUCGGAGAUUCAUCCGGAUCACGGAUGGAUGAAAUGGCUGGACAAAAAUGGGGCAGACCUAAGAGACGGCCUUUGCGUGGGUAAAGGCUAUGAGAUGAGAGUGCCGGCAGGCUUGGAGGCGACGGUCAGCGUUUUGGUGGACGGGGAGUUUCCAGUGUAUGCCGCUGCCAUUAAGUCGGGCAUGAGAUUUCCUCCACAUCCUUUUGUUGUGGAGGUCCUGGAUGGUUUCAACAUUGCGGUGGCCCAAUUAACCCCAAAUCCUGGGCAGACGUAUUUGGCUAUAUUGCCAAAUGUGCGCUGAAGAAUGUGCAGCCGUCUUUUAAUGCAUUUCUUCAUCUGGUCUCUAUUUCCCGUUCUCCCGAUGCCGCCGAGGGAUGGUUCAAUCUGAGCAGCCGAGGCACCUAUCAGACAGUGGUAGGCAAACUCACCAAGUGGCACAAAUGGAGGAAGAGAUGGGUCGUCUUUCACACCGACGACCAGGACAUGUACUAUAGGAUGAGCCAUUGGAGCCCUACGGCUAAUUAUAUGGAACACGAUGAGGCUCUCCUUCCUCUGACGGCAGCAAAGUGAGACCAAAUAAAGUUAAUGUUUAAAACGAAUACCUACCGGCUUACUGCUGAUAAGUCUUUUCAUGUGCCGACUCAAUGGUUGCCGCACAUAAGCCAAUAACGGGAUGCGGCAUUCUUAGCUGUCGUUGGCUUAGGGUACUUUAUGACCAAAGAGGAAGGCAUGAGUAAGCUGAAGGAUGCCGAUAUAGGCGAGGGAGAUGUGACAGAUUGGAUGGCCGACAUUUAUGAGGCCAAGAUGAAGAAAGCUAAGGCCGAGUUGGAGGAGAAGCAAGCAAAGUAAGCAAAGCUUAUUUGGGUACUUUUUGGGGAAGGCUCAUUAGGUGAUGGUCGUGUACUCACAAUUGGAACGGAAGCUUAUUUGGGUUCGGUGGCUCGUUGUGUGUGUAUAGUGUCUUGUAUUGACUCCGUUUAAUGGUCCGUUUGACCAAAGAUGCACGCUACACAUAAUCUGACAGCAGCAAGUUUAUUGCUUUUGUUUCUUAUGUUUUAUUUAACUUAAUAACGGGAUAAUAGGUUAAAUACUCCAUUUAGUUAAUUCCUUUAAUUAGCUUUAUUUUCUGCAUUUAGAGGGGCUUUUGAAUCAGUUUGUAAAUGCCAAUUUUGGCUGAUUGAGUGAGGCUUUUAAAGCCUUGUAACCACCAGCUUUUAAACCCUUUAAAUGGCUUUUAAAUUGCUGUUUAAUAGAGGCUUAUUAGCUGCUUGUAACAGCCAUCUUUGGCUGCUUUGUUUGGCUAUAUAUAGCCAGUUUUAUAAUGAGAAUAAUCAUCCA
Spinacia oleracea (spinach) is the source of this 1991-nucleotide long non-coding RNA. RefSeq lists it as uncharacterized. The transcript is spliced from 3 exons. The record is from RefSeq and is a predicted model, not a curated record. NCBI's taxonomy places the organism in Eukaryota, Viridiplantae, Streptophyta, Magnoliopsida, Caryophyllales, Amaranthaceae.